Molecule: ribosomal RNA, 1343 nt
Filed under: metagenome
Description: bacterial LSU rRNA
Rfam family: Bacterial large subunit ribosomal RNA
Source: RNAcentral
GGGGUGAUAAGAUUCAUAGUCAAAAGGGCAACAGCCCAGAUCGUCAGCUAAGGUCCCUAAAUGUACGUUAAGUGGUAAAGGAUGUGGGAUUGCACAGACAACCAGGAUGUUGGCUUAGAAGCAGCCACUCAUUUAAAGAGUGCGUAAUAGCUCACUGGUCGAGUGAUCCUGCGCCGAAAAUUUCCGGGGCUAAAACGCACUACCGAAGCUACGGCAUCAUUUAUGAUGGGUAGGGGAGCUUCGUAUGCAGGCUGAAGCAUGACCGUAAGGACAUGUGGACAGUAUACGAGUGAGAAUGUUGGCAUGAGUAGCGAGACGUGGGUGAGAAUCCCACGGGCCGUAAACCCAAGGUUUCCAGGGGAAGGUUCGUCCGCCCUGGGUUAGUCGGGACCUAAGCCGAGGCCGAAAGGCGUAGGUGAUGGACAACAGGUUGAUAUUCCUGUACCGCCAAUAAGCGUUUGAGAGAUGGAGUGACACAGUAGGAUAAGCUAACCGUACUGUUGGUUAUGUACGGCUAAGCAUUGAGGCAGUCUAAAUAGGCAAAUCCGUUUAGACAAUGCUAGGAUGUGAUGGGGAAGCCCUUCGGGGCGAAGUAGCUGAUUUCACACUGUCAAGAAAAGCUUCUAUCGAGUUUAAAGGCGCCCGUACCGUAAACCGACACAGGUGGGUGAGGAGAGUAUCCUAAGGCCAGCGAGAGAACUAUUGUUAAGGAACUCGGCAAAAUGACCCCGUAACUUAGGGAGAAGGGGUGCCUAUCUAUGACAGGCCGCAGAGAAUAGGCCCAAGCGACUGUUUACCAAAAACACAGGUUUCUGCUAAGUCGCAAGACGAUGUAUAGGAGCUGACGCCUGCCCGGUGCUGGAAGGUUAAGGGGAUCUGUUAGAGCAAUCGAAGCAGUGAACUUAAGCCCCAGUAAACGGCGGCCGUAACGAUAACGGUCCUAAGGUAGCGAAAUUCCUUGUCGGGUAAGUUCCGACCCGCACGAAAGGCGUAACGAUUUGGGCACUGUCUCAACAAUAGACUCGGUGAAAUUGUAAUCCCGGUGAAGAUGCCGGGUACCUGCGACAGGACGGAAAGACCCCAUGGAGCUUUACUGUAGCUUGACGUUGGGUCUUGGUACUACAUGUACAGGAUAGGUGGGAGACUAUGAAGCAUGGACGCCAGUCUGUGUGGAGUCAUCCUUGGGAUACCACCCUUGUAGUACUGGGAUCCUAACCAUAGGCCUUGAAUCAGGUCUUGGAACACCGUCAGGUGGGCAGUUUGACUGGGGCGGUCGCCUCCUAAAAAGUAACGGAGGCGCUCAAAGGUUUCCUCAGCACGGUCGGAAAUCGUGCGAAGAGUGU